GGCGUCAGGACGAACGCUGGCGGCGUGCCUAACACAUGCAAGUCGAACGAAGCACUGUGGAUGGAGACUCGGUCAACUGAAACUUUGACUUAGUGGCGGACGGGUGAGUAACGCGUGAGGAACCUGCCUUUCAGAGGGGGACAACAGUUGGAAACGACUGCUAAUACCGCAUAAUGCAGCGAGACCGCAUGAUCUUGCUGCCAAAGAUUUAUCGCUGAAAGAUGGCCUCGCGUCUGAUUAGAUAGUUGGUGAGGUAACGGCCCACCAAGCCGACGAUCGGUAGCCGGACUGAGAGGUUGAACGGCCACAUUGGGACUGAGACACGGCCCAGACUCCUACGGGAGGCAGCAGUGGGGAAUAUUGCACAAUGGGGGAAACCCUGAUGCAGCGACGCCGCGUGAAGGACGAAGGUCUUCGGAUCGUAAACUUUUUGUCUUCAGGGACGAUAAUGACGGUACCUGAGGAGGAAGCCACGGCUAACUACGUG
RNAcentral lists this ribosomal RNA (487 nucleotides) under uncultured bacterium. RNAcentral describes it as "bacterial SSU rRNA". It matches the Rfam family "Bacterial small subunit ribosomal RNA", at positions 20 to 507 of the family's 1533-position model. The record is from RNAcentral.